ACAUUCAGUUGGGCACUCUAAAUGAGACUGCCGGUGACAAACCGGAGGAAGGUGGGGAUGACGUCAAGUCCUCAUGGCCCUUAUAGGUGGGGCUACACACGUCAUACAAUGGAUGGUACAAAGGGUCGCCAACCCGCGAGGGGAGCACCCCAUAAAGCCAUUCGUAGUCCGGAUCGCAGUCUGCAACUCGACUGCGUGAAGUCGGAAUCGCUAGUAAUCGUGGAUCAGAAUGUCACGGUGAAUACGUUCCCGGGUCUU
This 258-nucleotide ribosomal RNA is filed under the name uncultured Acidovorax sp. RNAcentral's name for it is "partial 16S ribosomal RNA". It matches the Rfam family "Bacterial small subunit ribosomal RNA", at positions 1121 to 1382 of the family's 1533-position model. Lineage: Bacteria; Pseudomonadati; Pseudomonadota; Betaproteobacteria; Burkholderiales; Comamonadaceae. The record is from RNAcentral.